AGAGUUUGAUCCUGGCUCAGGACGAACGCUGGCGGCGUGCCUAAUACAUGCAAGUAGAACGCUGAAGGAGGAGCUUGCUUCUCCGGAUGAGUUGCGAACGGGUGAGUAACGCGUAGGUAACCUGCCUGGUAGUGGGGGAUAACUAUUGGAAACGGUAGCUAAUACCGCAUAAUAGCAGUUGUUGCAUGACAACUGUUUGAAAGGUGCAACUGCACCACUACCAGAUGGACCUGCGUUGUAUUAGCUAGUUGGUGGGGUAACGGCUCACCAAGGCGACGAUACAUAGCCGACCUGAGAGGGUGAUCGGCCACACUGGGACUGAGACACGGCCCAGACUCCUACGGGAGGCAGCAGUAGGGAAUCUUCGGCAAUGGACGGAAGUCUGACCGAGCAACGCCGCGUGAGUGAAGAAGGUUUUCGGAUCGUAAAGCUCUGUUGUAAGAGAAGAACGAGUGUGAGAGUGGAAAGUUCACACUGUGACGGUAUCUUACCAGAAAGGGACGGCUAACUACGUGCCAGCAGCCGCGGUAAUACGUAGGUCCCAAGCGUUGUCCGGAUUUAUUGGGCGUAAAGCGAGCGCAGGCGGUUAGAUAAGUCUGAAGUUAAAGGCUGUGGCUUAACCAUAGUACGCUUUGGAAACUGUUUAACUUGAGUGCAAGAGGGGAGAGUGGAAUUCCAUGUGUAGCGGUGAAAUGCGUAGAUAUAUGGAGGAACACCGGUGGCGAAAGCGGCUCUCUGGCUUGUAACUGACGCUGAGGCUCGAAAGCGUGGGGAGCAAACCAGGAUUAGAUACCCUGGUAGUCCACGCCGUAAACGAUGA
This 820-nucleotide ribosomal RNA is filed under the name uncultured bacterium. RNAcentral describes it as "bacterial SSU rRNA". It matches the Rfam family "Bacterial small subunit ribosomal RNA", at positions 8 to 812 of the family's 1533-position model. The record is from RNAcentral.